This 230-nucleotide ribosomal RNA is filed under the name uncultured bacterium. RNAcentral's name for it is "partial 16S ribosomal RNA". It matches the Rfam family "Bacterial small subunit ribosomal RNA", at positions 118 to 345 of the family's 1533-position model. The record is from RNAcentral.
UGAGGAACAUGACCUUCGGCGGGGGAUAGCCGGCCCAACGGCCGGGUAAUACCGCGUACGACCACAUGGGGACAUCCCUGAGUGGUGAAAGCAGCAAUGCGCCGAUGGAGUGCCUCGCGGCCUAUCAGCUAGUUGGUGAGGUAACGGCUCACCAAGGCAACGACGGGUANCUGGUCUGAGAGGAUGGCCAGCCACAGUUGGGACUGAGAAACGGCCCAGACUCCGUAGGG